Molecule: long non-coding RNA, 2299 nt
Filed under: Homo sapiens (human)
Lineage: Eukaryota; Metazoa; Chordata; Mammalia; Primates; Hominidae
Description: uncharacterized LOC105376177, transcript variant 5 (LOC105376177)
Source: RNAcentral
GCCGGAAGCCCCCUGCUCUGUGGGAACCGGAGGGAGGACAGCGCGAGGUCCCCGGACAAAGCGUGGCGCAUAAGUCCGGCCCGUAACUUGGUGGGCAGGCAACUUAGGGGAUGUGGGCCUGGUUAUAGCUGAGCAUGCUUUUCUAUUCCUCCCAGACCACAGUUCUUCAGACCUGGAGCCACUUUCAGAGAAGAGUAUAAGUUGCACUGAAUUGAAAAAGGGAAAAGUUUAGGACUGCAGAAGAUGGAAUUCCUGGGGACGUUAAACUGGGCUAAGAUGGAGCAGAUAAGAUUUCCUUAAUUAGAGCAAGACACACCUAGUAUCUAGAGCCUGGAAGUCUUGGUCAAGGAUUCUCCCUAACAUCUCAGUUUCUCAGCACUAACAUUCCUGCUACUAAAAUGAAGUGAGAAAUUAAUUUCUGAAGUUAAGUAAAGAAAUAAACUAAAAUUCCUAGAAAAGAGGUAAGAAGAAUGAGCCUUUGAAAAAUGUCUUCACAAAGACUGGCAUGAUGGCAUGGAAGAAAGAGCCCCAGAUAUCCAGUAUACAUCUCAAGGUCAACUUGUCCAAAACAGAGCUACUGAUGAUUUUCCCCUUGAAAUCUACUCUUCCUACAGCUUAUUCAUCUCAAAUAGCUGGAGUACAGUGGCAUGAUCAUAUCUCACUGCAACUUCUACCUCCUGGGCUCAAGCAAUCCUCUUACCUCAGCCUCCUGAGUAGCUGGGACUAUAGGAAGUGAGCAGCGUCUCUGCCUGGCCGCCCAUCGUCUGGGAUGUGAGGAGCACCUUUGCCCGGCCGCCCCGUCUGGGAAGUGAGGAGCGCCUCUGCCCGGCCACCCCGUCUGGGAGGUGAGGAGCAUCUCUGCCCGGCCACCCCGUCUGGGAGGUGAGGAGCGCCUCUGCCCGGCUGCCCAGUCUGGGAAGUGAGGAGCGCCCCUGCCCACCCGCCCAUUGUCUGGGAAGUGAGGAGCACCUCUGCCCAGUCGCCCCGUCUGGGAAGUGAGGAGCGCCUCUGCCCGGCCGCCCCGUCUGGGAUGUGAGGAGCGCCUCUGCCCGGCCGCCCCGUCUGGGAUGUGAGGAGCGCCUCUGCCCAGCCGCCACCCCAUCUGGGAAGUGGGGAGCGCCUCUGCCCGGCCGCCCCAUCUGGGAUGUGAGGAGCGCCUCUGCCUGGCCUCCCCGUCUGGGAGGUGGGGAGCGCCUCUGCCCAGCCGCCCCGUCUGGGAGGUGAGGAGCAUCUCUACCUGGCUGCUCAUCAUCUGGGAUGUGAGGAGCACCUCUGCCCGGCCGCCCCAUCUGGGAAGUGAGGAGCGCCUCUGCCCAGCCACCCUUCGUCUGGGAGGUGAGGAGCGUCUCUGCCUGGCCGCCCAUUGUCUGGGAUGUGAGGAGCGCCUCUGCCCGGCCGCCCCCUCUGGGAAGUGAGGAGUGCCUCUGCCUGGCCGCCCCAUCUGGGAGGUGUACCCAACAGCUCCGAAGAGACAGCGACCAUUGAGAACGGGCCAUGAUGACGAUGGUGGUUUUGUUGAAAAAUAAAGGGGGAAAUGUGGGGAAAAGAAAGAGAGAUCAGAUUGUUACUGUGUCUGUGUAGAAAGAAGUAGACAUAGGAGACUCCAUUUUGUUCUGUACUAAGAAAAAUUCUUCUGCCUUGGGAUGCUGUUAAUCUAUAACCUUACCCCCAACCCCGUGCUCUCUGAAACAUGUGCUGUGUCAACUCAGGGUUAAAUGGAUUAAGGGUGGUGCAAGAUGUGCUUUGUUAAACAGAUGCUUGAAGGCAGCAUGCUCCUUAAGAGUCAUCACCACUCCCUAAUCUCAAGUACCCAGGGACACAAACACUGCGGAAGGCCGCAGGGUCCUCUGCCUAGGAAAACCAGAGACCUUUGUUCACGUGUUUAUCUGCUGACCUUCUCUCCACUAUUAUCCUAUGACCCUGCCACAUCCCCCUCGCCGAGAAACACCCAAGAAUGAUCAAUAAAUACUAAAAAAAAAAAAAAGUUAUUUCUUCUAAUCAAUAUUUCCAAGAGUUUCAACCUCUAAUUUUAAAUCUCUCAGUUUGAUUUCCUCUUUUACUGUCUUUCCUAAGGUGAUUAGCAUUUGUAAUUGCCAGAAGGAAUUAAGUCCCCCAAACCGUAACCUGAUGAAUCACAGAUAGUCAGGUCAAUCACCAGCCUUAUUAAAUAUUCACUUAAAAGUUUAAGUAGUUGUAUUUCAUCACCUAAAAGUUAUAAUUCUACAGUACAAAGGACUUUUUCUUAAAUUAACAUGAAUAACCAGUUAUGUGAUGAUAAAUAAACUUUUUAAGUAAGGAA